AGCAGAGUGGCGCAGUGGAAGCGUGCUGGGCCCACAACCCAGAGGUCCGAGAAUCAAAUCCUCGCUCAGCUA
Molecule: transfer RNA, 72 nt
Filed under: Stylophora pistillata
Lineage: Eukaryota; Metazoa; Cnidaria; Anthozoa; Scleractinia; Pocilloporidae
Description: tRNA-Val
Rfam family: tRNA
About the family: Transfer RNA (tRNA) molecules are approximately 80 nucleotides in length. Their secondary structure includes four short double-helical elements and three loops (D, anti-codon, and T loops). Further hydrogen bonds mediate the characteristic L-shaped molecular structure. tRNAs have two regions of fundamental functional importance: the anti-codon, which is responsible for specific mRNA codon recognition, and the 3' end, to which the tRNAs corresponding amino acid is attached (by aminoacyl-tRNA synthetases). tRNAs cope with the degeneracy of the genetic code in two manners: having more than one tRNA (with a specific anti-codon) for a particular amino acid; and 'wobble' base-pairing, i.e. permitting non-standard base-pairing at the 3rd anti-codon position.
Source: Rfam by way of RNAcentral